CUUAAAAUAUUCUUUUAAAGUCUAUUUUGUCUGAUAUGAGUAUUGCUCCUCCAGCUUUCUUUUGAUCCCCGUUUGCAUGAAAUAUUUUCUUCCAUCCUCUCACUUUCAAUUUGUAUGUAUCCCUAGAAGUGAAGUGGGUCUCCUGAAGAUAGCAUAUAUAUGAGUCUAGUUUUUGUAUCCAUUCAGCCAGUCUUUGUCUUUUGGUUGCAGCGUUUAGUCCAUUAACAUUUAAGGUAAUUAUUGAUAUGUAUGUCCCCAUUGCCAUUUUAUUAAUUGCUUUGGAUUUGUUUUUGUUGCUCUUUUUUCUUUCCUCCUUCUCUUGUUCUCUCCUCUUCUGGUUUGAUGACUAUCUUUAGUGUUGUAUUUGUGUUGAUUUUUCUUUGUUUGGGUUUCAGUUGUAGAUUUUUGGUUUGCAGUUAUUCUGAAGUUUGAAUAUAAGAGUCUAUAUGUAUAUGAGAUUGUUUUAAGUUUUGUUGUUUUCUUAAUUGUAAGUUCAUCUCCAGUGUCCUGCAUUUGUACCCACCUCUUCUCAUGAUUUCUGAUUUUGGUGGUAUAAUUGUGCAUGAUUUGGUAUCUUACUGUAUAUAUACCUUUACUGGUGAGCCUUAUCAUUUGUGUAAUUUUUGUUUCCUGUUGCUGUCUUUUCUUUUCUGCCUAGAGAAGUUCCUUUAGUAUUUGUUGUAAGGCUGGUUUAGUGUUGCUGAAUUCUCUCAGCUUUUGCUUAGCUGUGAAGGUUUUGAUUUCUCCUUCAAAUCUGAAUGAGAGCCUUGCUGGUAAAGUCAUCUUGGUUGGAGGUUUUUUCCUUUCAUCACGUGAAGUAUAUCUGCCACUCCCUUCUGGCCUGCACAGGUUCUCCUGAAAAAUCUGCCAAUAACCUUAUUGGGGUUCCCUUGUACAUUAUUUGUUUCUUUUCCCUAGCUGCUUUCAAGAUUUUUCUCUUUGUCUUUAUAAUUUUUGUCAGUUUGAUGAAUAUGUGUCUCAGGGUGUUCCUCCUUGGGUUUAUUUUAUAUGGUACUCGGUGUGCUUCCUGGAUUUGAGUGAGUUGUUCCUUUCCCAUGUGAGGGAAGUUUUCGACUGUUAUCUCUUGGAAUAUUUUUUCUCUCCCCUUCUGUCUCUUUUCUUCUUCUGGCACCCCUGUAAUACAGAUAUUGGUGUGUUUAAUGUUGUCCAGAGUUCUCUGAGACUCUUCAUUUGUUUUCAAUCCUUUUUUUCUUUUCUGCUCCACAUCAAUAAUUUCCACUAAUCUGUCCUCCACCUCGCUUAUUCAUUUUUCUGACUCCUGUAUUCUGCUCUUAGCUGCUUCUAGUGAAUUUUUUAUUUCAGUUAUUGUAUUUUGCAUCUCUUCUUGUUUAAUUUUUAUAUAUUGUAUCUCUGCUCAGUGUUUCCUGUAAGUUAUCCAUCUUUGCCUCCAAUUUAUUUCCAUUGUCUUGCAUCAUCUUCAGCAUCAACAAUCUAAAGUCUUUUUCCUGGAGGCUGAGACUCUCCUC
This 1487-nucleotide long non-coding RNA is filed under the name Sus scrofa (pig). RNAcentral describes it as "lncRNA (ENSSSCG00065076652.1)". The record is from RNAcentral. Lineage: Eukaryota; Metazoa; Chordata; Mammalia; Artiodactyla; Suidae.